UAGAGUUUGAUUCUGGCUCAGAUUGAACGCUGGCGGCAUGCCUUACACAUGCAAGUCGAACGGCAGCAUGAUCUAGCUUGCUAGAUUGAUGGCGAGUGGCGAACGGGUGAGUAAUACAUCGGAACGUGCCCUGUAGUGGGGGAUAACUAGUCGAAAGAUUAGCUAAUACCGCAUACGACCUGAGGGUGAAAGUGGGGGACCGCAAGGCCUCAUGCUAUAGGAGCGGCCGAUGUCUGAUUAGCUAGUUGGUGGGGUAAAGGCCCACCAAGGCGACGAUCAGUAGCUGGUCUGAGAGGACGAUCAGCCACACUGGGACUGAGACACGGCCCAGACUCCUACGGGAGGCAGCAGUGGGGAAUUUUGGACAAUGGGCGAAAGCCUGAUCCAGCAAUGCCGCGUGUGUGAAGAAGGCCUUCGGGUUGUAAAGCACUUUUGUCCGGAAAGAAAUGGCUCUGGUUAAUACCUGGGGUCGAUGACGGUACCGGAAGAAUAAGGACCGGCUAACUACGUGCCAGCAGCCGCGGUAAU
Molecule: ribosomal RNA, 528 nt
Filed under: uncultured Ralstonia sp.
Lineage: Bacteria; Pseudomonadati; Pseudomonadota; Betaproteobacteria; Burkholderiales; Burkholderiaceae
Description: bacterial SSU rRNA
Rfam family: Bacterial small subunit ribosomal RNA
Source: RNAcentral